AGUGAACGCUGGCGGUAGGCCUAACACAUGCCAGUCGAACGGCAGCACAGUAAGAGCUUGCUCUUACGGGUGGCGAGUGGCGGACGGGUGAGGAAUACAUCGGAAUCUACUUUUUCGUGGGGGGUAACGUAGGGAAACUUACGCUAAUACCGCAUACGACCUACGGGUGAAAGCAGGGGAUCUUCGGACCUUGCGCGAUUGAAUGAGCCGAUGUCGGAUUAGCUAGUUGGCGGGGUAAAGGCCCACCAAGGCGACGAUCCGUAGCUGGUCUGAGAGGAUGAUCGGCCACACUGGAACUGAGACACGGUCCAGACUCCUACGGGAGGCAGCAGUGGGGAAUAUUGGACAAUGGGCGCAAGCCUGAUCCAGCCAUGCCGCGUGGGUGAAGAAGGCCUUCGGGUUGUAAAGCCCUUUUGUUGGGAAAGAAAAGCAGCAGGUUAAUACCCCGCUGUUCUGACGGUACCCAAAGAAUAAGCACCGGCUAACUUCGUG
This 492-nucleotide ribosomal RNA is filed under the name uncultured bacterium. RNAcentral's name for it is "partial 16S ribosomal RNA". It matches the Rfam family "Bacterial small subunit ribosomal RNA", at positions 29 to 507 of the family's 1533-position model. The record is from RNAcentral.